Molecule: long non-coding RNA, 209 nt
Filed under: Glycine max (soybean)
Lineage: Eukaryota; Viridiplantae; Streptophyta; Magnoliopsida; Fabales; Fabaceae
Description: long non-coding RNA (GMAX_LNC001568)
Source: RNAcentral
CAAACCCAACACUUUCAUUUUAACACUUCGCGCAUAAAUAUUUUUCUCGAGGUGAACACCAAUCAGAUUAUUGUAUAAUUCAUAAGUCAAAACACAAGUAAUACCACAUCAAAUAUUGACCACACACUUAUUCACAACCAUAUAUCAUGUUCACAAUUUAACAUCUUCCAACAUCGCAAUCCACCAUCACAUGUUUACAUGUAUCUCAC